RNAcentral lists this ribosomal RNA (433 nucleotides) under uncultured bacterium. RNAcentral's name for it is "partial 16S ribosomal RNA". It matches the Rfam family "Bacterial small subunit ribosomal RNA", at positions 29 to 507 of the family's 1533-position model. The record is from RNAcentral.
AGCGAACGCUGGCGGCAGGCCUAACACAUGCAAGUCGAACGAACUCUUCGGAGUUAGUGGCGGACGGGUGAGUAACACGUGGGAACGUGCCUUUUGGUUCGGAAUAACUCAGGGAAACUUGUGCUAAUACCGAAUGUGCCCUUCGGGGGAAAGAUUUAUCGCCAUUAGAGCGGCCCGCGUCUGAUUAGCUAGUUGGUGAGGUAACGGCUCACCAAGGCGACGAUCAGUAGCUGGUCUGAGAGGAUGACCAGCCACACUGGGACUGAGACCCGGCCCAGACUCCUACGGGAGGCAGCAGUGGGGAAUCUUGCGCAAUGGGCGAAAGCCUGACGCAGCCAUGCCGCGUGAAUGAUGAAGGUCUUAGGAUUGUAAAAUUCUUUCACCGGGGACGAUAAUGACGGUACCCGGAGAAGAAGCCCCGGCUAACUUCGUG